Pelobates cultripes (western spadefoot toad) is the source of this 223-nucleotide non-coding RNA. The record is from the annotation of a GenBank genome assembly. Lineage: Eukaryota; Metazoa; Chordata; Amphibia; Anura; Pelobatidae.
GCCGAGUAUUAUAAGACCAAGCGUAUUCUUAGGGAUAUGUGGAUGCAUGCUCAACCCACAUUGUUUAAAGGAAAUUAAGUAUAUUGUUCAAGGCUUGAAAUCCUCUUCAAUAAAUGUUCUAUGGACUGGAUGUUAUUGAAUUUGGAAUUUUUACAAAGUGUAACAAGUAAAACCAAAAAUGAGAUUAUGCAAUUAGAGGCUGAAUUGGAAAAGAACUUCCAAG